RNAcentral lists this ribosomal RNA (577 nucleotides) under Aspergillus sydowii. RNAcentral describes it as "eukaryotic LSU rRNA". It matches the Rfam family "Eukaryotic large subunit ribosomal RNA", at positions 68 to 660 of the family's 3401-position model. Lineage: Eukaryota; Fungi; Ascomycota; Eurotiomycetes; Eurotiales; Aspergillaceae. The record is from RNAcentral.
ACCGGGAUUGCCUCAGUAACGGCGAGUGAAGCGGCAAGAGCUCAAAUUUGAAAUCUGGCCCCUCCGGGGUCCGAGUUGUAAUUUGCAGAGGAUGCUUCGGGUGCGGCCCCUGUCUAAGUGCCCUGGAACGGGCCGUCAGAGAGGGUGAGAAUCCCGUCUUGGGCAGGGUGCCCGUGCCCGUGUGAAGCUCCUUCGACGAGUCGAGUUGUUUGGGAAUGCAGCUCAAAAUGGGUGGUAAAUUUCAUCUAAAGCUAAAUACCGGCCGGAGACCGAUAGCGCACAAGUAGAGUGAUCGAAAGAUGAAAAGCACUUUGAAAAGAGAGUUAAACAGCACGUGAAAUUGUUGAAAGGGAAGCGCUUGCAACCAGACUCGGCCUCGGGGUUCAGCCAGCAUUCGUGCUGGUGUACUUCCCCGGGGCCGGGCCAGCGUCGGUUUGGGCGGCCGGUCAAAGGCCCCAGGAAUGUAUCGUCCUCCGGGACGUCUUAUAGCCUGGGGUGCAAUGCGGCCAGCCUGGACCGAGGAACGCGCUUCGGCACGGACGCUGGCGUAAUGGUCGCAAACGACCCGUCUUGAACC